Long non-coding RNA from Dreissena polymorpha, 945 nucleotides. RefSeq lists it as uncharacterized. NCBI's taxonomy places the organism in Eukaryota, Metazoa, Mollusca, Bivalvia, Myida, Dreissenidae. The transcript is spliced from 9 exons. The record is from RefSeq and is a predicted model, not a curated record.
UGCCGACCCAGGUUAGAGUGCUCAGUCUGCACAGGGUACUGGCAUGUAGGGUGUCAUGCAUGUGCGAAGUGUCAACCCAGGUUAGAGUGUGCAGUCUGUACAGGUUACUGGCAUGUAGGGUGCCGUGCAUGUGCCGACCCAGGUUAGAGUGCACAGUCUGUACAGGUUACUGGCAUGUAGGGUGCCGUGCAUGUGCCGACCCAGGUUAGAGUGUGCAGUCUGCACAGGUUACUGGCAUGUAGGGUGUCGUGCAUGUGCCGACCCAGGUUAGAGUGUGCAGUCUGCACAGGUUACUGGCAUGUAGGGUGUCGUGCAUGUGCCGACCCAGGUUAGAGUGUGCAGUCUGCACAGGUUACUGGCAUGUAGGGUGUCGUGCAUGUGCAAAGUGUCAACCCAGGUUAGAGUGCACAGUCUGUACAGGUUACUGGCAUGUAGGGUGUCGUGCAUGUGCCGACCCAGGUUAGAGUGUGCAGUCUGCACAGGUUACUGGCAUGUAGGGUGUCGUGCAUGUGCCGACCCAGGUUAGAGUGUGCAGUCUGUACAGGGUACUGGCAUGUAGGGUGUCGUGCAUGUGCCGACCCAGGUUAGAGUGUGCAGUCUGCACAGGUUACUGGCAUGUAGGGUGUCGUGCAUGUGCCGACCCAGGUUAGAGUGUGCAGUCUGCACAGGUUACUGGCAUGUAGGGUGUCGUGCAUGUGCAAAGUGUCAACCCAGGUUAGAGUGUGCAGUCUGUACAGGUUACUGGCAUGUAGGGUGCCGUGCAUGUGCCGACCCAGGUUAGAGUGUGCAGUCUGUACAGGUUACUGGCAUGUAGGGUGUCGUGCAUGUGCCGACCCAGGUUAGAGUGUGCAGUCUGCACAGGGUACUGGCAUGUAGGGUGUCUUGCAUGUGCAAAGUGUCGACCCAGGUUAGAGUGCGCAGUCUGUACAGGUUACUGGCAUGUAG